Non-coding RNA from Crenichthys baileyi (White River springfish), 96 nucleotides. The record is from the annotation of a GenBank genome assembly. NCBI's taxonomy places the organism in Eukaryota, Metazoa, Chordata, Actinopteri, Cyprinodontiformes, Goodeidae.
GUGCAGAGUGGCUCAGUUGGUAGAGCAGACGCACCGUGUGCAGAGGCUAAAGCCCUCGACGUGGUUGUUCUGGGUUCAAUUCCUGGUCUUGGGACA